RNAcentral lists this ribosomal RNA (475 nucleotides) under uncultured bacterium. RNAcentral's name for it is "SSU rRNA". It matches the Rfam family "Bacterial small subunit ribosomal RNA", at positions 26 to 518 of the family's 1533-position model. The record is from RNAcentral.
AGAAUCAACGCUGGCGGCGUGCCUAACACAUGCAAGUCGAACGAGAAAGUGGAGCAAUCCAUGAGUAAAGUGGCGACCGGGUGAGUAACACGUGACUAACCUACCUUCGAGUGGGGGAUAACCUCGGGAAACCGGGGCUAAUACCGCAUAACAUCUUUGAAGUGGAAAUUUCGGAGAUCAAAGGAGCAAUUCGCUUGAAGAGGGGGUCGCGGCUGAUUAGCUAGUUGGCGGGUAACGGCCCACCAAGGCUUAGAUCGGUAGCCGGCCUGAGAGGGCGCACGGCCACACUGGAACUGAAACACGGUCCAGACUCCUACGGGAGGCAGCAGUGGGGAAUUUUGCGCAAUGGGGGAAACCCUGACGCAGCAACGCCGCGUGGAGGAUGAAGUCCCUUGGGACGUAAACUCCUUUCGACCCGGACGAUAAUGACGGUACGGGUGGAAGAAGCCCCGGCUAACUUCGUGCCAGCAGCCGC